RNAcentral lists this ribosomal RNA (263 nucleotides) under uncultured bacterium. Its description in RNAcentral is "partial 16S ribosomal RNA". It matches the Rfam family "Bacterial small subunit ribosomal RNA", at positions 793 to 1055 of the family's 1533-position model. The record is from RNAcentral.
GUCCACGCCGUAAACGUUGGGCACUAGGUGUGGGGCUCUAUCAACGGGCUCCGUGCCGUAGCUAACGCAUUAAGUGCCCCGCCUGGGGAGUACGGCCGCAAGGCUAAAACUCAAAGGAAUUGACGGGGGCCCGCACAAGCGGCGGAGCAUGUGGCUUAAUUCGAUGCAACGCGAAGAACCUUACCUGGGUUGAACUAUGCAGGAAAAAGCCGUAGAGAUACGGUGUCCUUCGGGGCCUGCGAUAGGUGGUGCAUGGCUGUCGU